UACGUAGGGUGCAAGCGUUGUCCGGAAUUAUUGGGCGUAAAGCGUGCGUAGGCGGCUGCGCAAGUCGGUUGUGAAACCCCGGGGCUCAACCCCGGAACUGCAUCCGAUACUGCGUGGCUAGAGGUAGGUAGGGGAGAUCGGAAUUCCUGGUGUAGCGGUGAAAUGCGCAGAUAUCAGGAGGAACACCGGUGGCGAAGGCGGAUCUCUGGGCCUUACCUGACGCUCAGGCACGAAAGCUAGGGGAGCGAACAGG
RNAcentral lists this ribosomal RNA (253 nucleotides) under uncultured bacterium. RNAcentral describes it as "partial 16S ribosomal RNA". It matches the Rfam family "Bacterial small subunit ribosomal RNA", at positions 524 to 776 of the family's 1533-position model. The record is from RNAcentral.